This 90-nucleotide transfer RNA is filed under the name Comamonas sp. RNAcentral describes it as "tRNA-Ser". It matches the Rfam family "tRNA". From Rfam's summary of the family: Transfer RNA (tRNA) molecules are approximately 80 nucleotides in length. The record is from RNAcentral. Lineage: Bacteria; Pseudomonadati; Pseudomonadota; Betaproteobacteria; Burkholderiales; Comamonadaceae. RNAcentral also lists the same sequence under 1 other name.
GGAGAAAUACCCAAGUGGUGAAGGGGACAGUUUGCUAAACUGUUAGGUCUCGUAAGGGGCGCGAGGGUUCGAACCCCUCUUUCUCCGCCA